RNAcentral lists this ribosomal RNA (618 nucleotides) under [Entoloma] strictius var. isabellinum. Its description in RNAcentral is "Entoloma strictius var. isabellinum partial 12S ribosomal RNA". It matches the Rfam family "Bacterial small subunit ribosomal RNA", at positions 360 to 951 of the family's 1533-position model. Lineage: Eukaryota; Fungi; Basidiomycota; Agaricomycetes; Agaricales; Entolomataceae. The record is from RNAcentral.
AAUAUUAGUCAAUGCUCGCAAGAGUGAACUAGCUAACUGAAAUCACAGGAUCCACUACGUGUGGUGAAUGUUAUAACGUAAGGGAAAAAAAUGAUAUUACCUUACUAUUAGUGUUGUCCAAAACUGGUGCCAGAAGACUCGGUAAGGCCAGAGACGCAAACGUUAGUCGUCCUAAUCAGGCGUAAAGGGUAUGUAGGCUGCUUUAAAAGUUAGUAUAAUAUUUUAAUAGCUCUAUUUAUUUAGAAUUAGUGAAUUAUCGCUAUAAAACUAAAUAAAUAGUAAAAUAUACAAUGAAUUAAAGCUAGGAUCAAAUUGAGGAUAAUUUAAAUAAUACUUAGUGUAGGGUUUACAUCUGGUGAUACUAAGGGGAGUACUAACGGUGAAAGCUUUUUAUCUAGAAAUGAUUGACGCUGAGAAACGAAGGUGAGAAUAGGAAAUAGGAUUAGAUACCCAGAUACCUCUCACAGUCAACGAUGAAUGGUGGUUGUUAGUUAGUUUUAUUUAACUGAUAACGAUGUUAACACGAUAACCAUUCCGCCUUGCGAGUACGGUUGCAAAACUGAAACCAAAAAAAUUAGUCGGUCUCGAAGCAAACGAAGUGAAGCAUGUUAUUUAAUU